GCGAGGUCUUCGGACCUAGCGGCGGACGGGUGAGUAACACGUGGGUAACCUGCCUGUAAGAUUGGGAUAACUCCGGGAAACCGGAGCUAAUACCGGAUAACAUUUCGAACCGCAUGGUUCGAAAUUGAAAGAUGGCUUUUAGCUAUCACUUACAGAUGGACCCGCGGCGCAUUAACUAGUUGGUGAGGUAACGGCUCACCAAGGCAACGAUGCGUAGCCGACCUGAGAGGGUGAUCGGCCACACUGGGACUGAGACACGGCCCAGACUCCUACGGGAGGCAGCAGUAGGGAAUCUUCCGCAAUGGACGAAAGUCUGACGGAGCAACGCCGCGUGAACGAUGAAGGCCUUCGGGUCGUAAAGUUCUGUUGUUAGGGAAGAACAAGUACUAGAGUAACUGCUGGUACCUUGACGGUACCUAACCAGAAAGCCACGGCUAACUACGUGCCAGCAGCCGCGGUAAUACGUAAGUGGCAAGCGUUGUCCGGAAUUAUUGGGCGUAAAGCGCGCGCAGGUGGUUUCUUAAGUCUGAUGUGAAAGCCCACGGCUCAACCGUGGAGGGUCAUUGGAAACUGGGGAACUUGAGUGCAGAAGAGGAAAGUGGAAUUCCAAGUGUAGCGGUGAAAUGCGUAGAGAUUUGGAGGAACACCAGUGGCGAAGCGACUUUCUGGUCUGUAACUGACACUGAGGCGCGAAAGCGUGGGGAGCGAACAGGAUUAGAUACCCUGGUAGUCCACGCCGUAUACGAUGAGUGCUAAGUGUUAGAGGGUUUCCGCCCUUUAGUGCUGCAGCAAACGCAUUCAGC
RNAcentral lists this ribosomal RNA (803 nucleotides) under Bacillus sp. PB16. RNAcentral describes it as "bacterial SSU rRNA". It matches the Rfam family "Bacterial small subunit ribosomal RNA", at positions 66 to 865 of the family's 1533-position model. Lineage: Bacteria; Bacillati; Bacillota; Bacilli; Caryophanales; Bacillaceae. The record is from RNAcentral.